RNAcentral lists this long non-coding RNA (8516 nucleotides) under Lupinus angustifolius (narrow-leaved blue lupine). RNAcentral describes it as "long non-coding RNA (LANG_LNC003629)". The record is from RNAcentral. Lineage: Eukaryota; Viridiplantae; Streptophyta; Magnoliopsida; Fabales; Fabaceae.
UUGAACAGUACUUGGAUGUUCAUAAACAUUAGGCUUGUAUAUUGUACAAAAGGAUUAUUACUUGCCAAUCGGUUCAAUGUAUGUGAUUUAAAUCUAACCUAUUUGCCUAUAUACUCAGUUUGUUUUCAGUAAUAAAACUAAUUAUUUGUCCCUCUUAUCAUCUUAUGUAACAUUCUCCUUGUUGACUGAUGAUUUACUGAAUAUGAUCUUCACCUAAAAAAGUGUUGAUGAUGUCUCUGAUAGUCAUUCCUGUAAAAAGAGAUCAAAGGGUAAGUUUUUUAGACAAUUACAUAUUGGGGCAUAGAUGCAGUAAUAUUGAAACAGCCGUGAAUAUCGAAGGGAAUGCCAAAAUGUGGCAUAUUCAUUCAGUUACACAUCCUGGUUUUUCAAACAGCUAAAGUUUCAAGGCAUUGAUAGUUACAGAUCAGCAAUCAUUGACAUCAUUCAUGGGCAGUUAAAGUAUUGAAAUCAGAAAGGAAAGGGCAUGACAUGUUACUGAGCUUAAAAAGAAAAACUCAGAAGGCUUUUCACAUCAACAACCAGCUAUAAAAGGGCCAUAUAUCACAUACAAAAUAGGGACAGCCGCAAGAAAAUCAGAGAGAUUACACAUACAGGGUGACACACCAUAGUUACAGAGCAUUCAGAAUACACAUACACAACAAAUACCCAAAAGAGAGUGAUAUACAUUCAUAUAUCCACACAUAUCAUACAAAUCAGAGGGCACAACACAGAAUUUGUAUCUGCUCUCUAUCACACGCAUAGAGAGAAGAGAAAAGCACACAGCUAUCAGUCCUCAUACACUGACCUCACACACAUAACCGAGGACGAUUCCGGAAGCAUAUCUCACAUACACGAGAAAGGGAUAGGUUGCUGAUCAAGAACAUAGAGAUAAAGGCAAGGUUAUACACAGCAGGAAUACUGUGAGGUAAGAAGGUGUUUUUUAUUUGGUGAUCAAUCUGUCUUUUGAACUUAGACGAUAAAUUUAUAAACAAUUUUGCUUAGCCAUACAGAAUUACAUACAUCCCAUUCCCACCCAAUUGAUUUCGCAGAGACACAUAUACUGUCAUUUAACCAAAAGUAACUAAUGCUCUGUAACUACUUUAAAGCAAUGAAAUUUGUUUCUGGAUGAACAUUCAUACCAAUUGGUUUUUUUUCUCAUCAAAUUUCUAAUUACUUCACACUAUGACAAAUACGUAAAGUUAGAUUGGAAGAGGGAUAGGGUUCUUUACCAAAAUCCUUUGCCAAUAACCAACCGNNNNNNNNNNNNNNNNNNNNNNNNNNNNNNNNNNNNNNNNNNNNNNNNNNNNNNNNNNNNNNNNNNNNNNNNNNNNNNNNNNNNNNNNNNNNNNNNNNNNGGUCUGUAUGCUUCCUCACACACUAACGUUGUACACUUGAGUUUGCACACACAUAUGCCCUGUCCCGGGUAUUAGUGAUUAGGAUUUGAGAUAGAAGGGACAUCUGCUUUGCUCGUAAAUGACUUCGAGUCAUAUCUGGUAUUGGCGGAACGGACCACCCAGAUCGUUUCCGGUAUCAUGAGUUAGCGGCUUGGAGGGCUCGAUCCUUCUCGUUUCUAGCACUUUAUCCUUCACCAUUUAUAAAUUGAGAUGUUUGUCCCUAAAAAGUCUUCAUGCUUGAAUGUUUCAAGGAUGUCAUUGUACUUUGACGUCCUUGUGCCAUAAAGAUGGCUAAAUAAUUUCUAUUCCUUACCAUGGGCUAAGCGCCCUAGGGAUAAGUUUUCCAUUCCCUACCAUGGGCUCAUUUCCCUAGGGAUGAUUUUUUCAUUCCUAUCGACGGGCUCAUUGCCCUAUGGAUAUGUUCUCUUCCAUCUUAAUAAGCUCACAACUUUAUCAUUUAACUCUCGAGAUUUGGGGAUAUUCCCCAUCCUGGUUUUGUUUUAUUUAUUUAUUAUUUUCCUAUUCCUAUUAUUUUAAUUAUUUGAUUUAAUCUAAUCCUAACCUUAUUAUUCGGAAAUCUCUACAAACUUAAGAUAAAUGCUGAUUGAGUUGAACAAUUAUACAACAUAUAUGUUUAUGAUACAAAUGUGCUUUAACUUGUUAGUGAAAAGUUUUAAUAAACAAUGCACUUAUAAAAAUUCAAAAUCACCCUAUCAUAUAAUUCCAUACAUAACUAAAUCAAAAUAAAUAUUAUCACUUAAAUUCAUAUACAACUAAAAAAAGAAUAUACAAUCACACAUUUAUAUUCAUUUAUAUACAUUCAUAAUAACAAAUCAUUCAAAUGUUGCAUUUCAUGCACCAUCGUACAUGCACCACAAAAUAUCGAAAAAGAAAAAUAAAUUAGUGCAUGCAUCUUCACAUGAACUCAAAACAAAAAAAAUAACAUGUAUGCAUAUUGCAUGAAUCAAAUAUUACAUCCUCAUGACUUUCAUACAUUUCAAUCAUUCAUGUAACUCAUGCAUAAAUCAUUAUCAGAGAUACUCAUGAGUUGAAAAUUGGUUUUUAAAGGUGACAUUAUUGGACUUGACUGAAACGGUCUAAGAAGGAAGAAAAAGUCUUACUCUCGAGACUACAGAAGAUAAACCAGCUACUCAUAUUGAUACCCCAUCCCCAAAGACAUAUUUGCAAAUUUCAUAUCAUAUGGAAACCCCAGUUAACGAUGGUAACUCCAAUCAUUCCUCUAAGUCCCACAAUGUUAUGAACCCUCAAGAUUGGGAGAAGAUCAAGGCAAUCGAAGAGAGAAUUAAAGUCGUUGAGGAAGCAAGCUCCUACAGUUUGAAGGAUGUUACAAGCAUGUGUUUGGUCCCGAAUGUGAUAUUUCCACCAAAGUUCAAGAUGCCCGAAUUUGAGAAAUAUCAAGGAACUUCUUGUCCUAGGGAUCACCUAACCAUGUAUGUUAGGAAGAUGACUCCCUAUAUCGAGGAUGACAAUCUACUAAUCCAUGUCUUCCAGGAGAGCCUCACUGGAGCUGCCAUCACUUGGUAUAUGCGUCUCGAAUGUUCUCAUAUCAAAUGUUUCAAGGAUUUGUGCAACACUUUCUUUAAACAAUACAACUACAAUAUUGACCAAGAUCCUGAUAGGAUGCUACUCAAGAAGAUGUCCAAGAGAAAUGAUGAGACCUUCAGGGAGUAUGUCCAAAGAUGGGCAGGAUUGGCCGCUCAAGUGAAGCCCAAGUUGUCCGAUGAAGAGAAUGUUUCAAUGUUUAUCAACACCCUACAACCUCCCUUAUUUGAUCUGAUGAUUGGAAAUGUCUAUUCGGAUUUCCGUCAUUUGAUAACUACAGGAGAGAGAAUUGAGAAUCACUCCGAGAAUGACAAAAUUGAGAAAAACUCAGCCAACAGAAUAAUCCAAAGCGAUCUUGCAAGUGAAGAUAUGGAAGAGGAAAUCGCAUUCACAGAGACCCUCAGCCAACCUCAAAUGCCUUAUUUUCCACAAGCAUCAUGUUAUGCUUUUACAAAUGGUAAAAAAGGCGAAAGCGAAAAAGGAAGAGUUUGUAUGAUCCGAUCCCGAUGUCAUAUUCCGAGUUAUUGCCACAACUUCUUCAAAGAUCAUUGCUGACUCCUAUCCCCUCAAAGAUGGUGGAACCUCCAUACCCACAAGGAUUCAACCCAAAUGCUAAUUGUGAAUAUCAUACUGGGGCAAUUGGCCACUUCACAGAGGAUUGUGAUCAAUUAAAAAGCAAAGUGCAAUAUCUGAUUAACACCAGAUUAAUCCGCUUUCAAGGAAACGUCCUAGUUUAAGAAAUGCACAAAUCACCCCAAGUUGUCGUCUUGGCACUAGCAAAUGAUGUAAUAAANNNNNNNNNNNNNNNNNNNNNNNNNNNNNNNNNNNNNNNNNNNNNNNNNNNNNNNNNNNNNNNNNNNNNNNNNNNNNNNNNNNNNNNNNNNNNNNNNNNNUGCAAAAUAACAUAAAAAACAAAAGGAAAAAUAUACAAAAGGCCCGCUGAGAAUCCUCAAUAAAAAUUCUCAGGCAAAAGUUAGGGCAAAUAAAGUGCACUAUCAAUAUCCGCAAAAAGGAACAAUUCAAAUACCUCUCGGGAAGAUUAUCGCCUAAAUAUUAGGCAUUCACCUAUUACAUCACAAAAAUCGAACAAAAUCUUAGUACUUGAAUGUCAUGUCAGAAAAUCGUUGAAAAUAAGACUAUGGAGAAAGGAGAAUGUAGAAAGGGGUUUGGGAAACACAUUUUUGAGCCUUAUCCUUUUUUCUUGGAAACCCUUAGCCAGACCACGAUACAAGCUCAAAAGACCUUGUCGAGGAUAUGAUCUGCCUAAGAAACGUACUAGGGCAAAGAAAUGCUGACUCCAAUAAAUAUCAUAAAGUUUUGAUGAAAAUAUCUCAUUUUAAUGCAUGGAUUAAAUCUCAAUCUCUCAUCAUCACUACCCUCAUAUCAACACUCAAAACCCAAAAACAAAAAUCCAAAUUUGCUUGAUCACUGUUUUUAGUAUUUAUUUUUAAGGAGUUGUGCAUGAAGAAAACACAUGACAAGUUGGAAUCAAACGAAAGGUGUCAAUCCAAACUGGGGCAUUUUGUGGAGGCUGAUCUCAUUUCUGGAAAGAAGGUACCCAGAAACCUAUAACUGGGGUAAGACUGAAGUUAGUCAUCAUGAAUCAUUCAAAAAUCCCUCAACCAAGCGAAGGCAAGAUCUUGCAUCAUCGCCUUCAAACUUCAAAUGUGACUCAUGCUUUCAUGCACUUAUGAUUGUCACUUGAGAGUGUUCAAAAAUAUCCAAAAGAAAAAACAAGCAAAAAAAGAAAGAAAAAAGAGUGCUAGGUUGAAAACCCGCAAGGGCAACCUAAGAAAAGGAGAGCAAUGAUAAGUCGAAAAGCUUCAACGGCGACUUAGUAUCAUAAUAAAAUGAGAGAAUUCCUGACAGGUACCUACAAUAGGUAUUUUGGGUAAAAAUUAGGGGGAAAAAUGAACACCCUCAUGGGAAAAUUCACUAUUGUUCAUCCUCAACCAUGCAAACUGGGGUAAUUUAAUUGAAGAUCAUACUCUCCCAAUAAAUUCUUGACAAGAUACUGGGGCAGUUUAUUGGACGAUCAGACUCUUCCAAUAAACUCUUGACAUGACACUGAUGCAUUUAAUUGAUUCACUUAUCGUAAAUUGAGGCAGUUCUUCAAAGGAUCAAAGUCAUAUCAUAGAGCAAGCAAAUCAUCAACAAAUAUGUCAACUAAAGCCAAUCAUAAAAAGGUUGUGAAACUGAAAAGUUUUAAGGGUGAUGAAAAGUAGUUUCGAGUACAACUGAAUCAAAAAUUCAAAUCCAAUUUUUCAAACAAAAAAAACUCCAAGUCAUUUCGAGCUACCAAUUCAACAAUUCUGGUUCAUACACCACUUCAACAUGUAAACAUAACCGAAGGUCAUACAUCACUACGUUAUGCAAACUAAACCAAAUUUCAUACAUCACUCAUAACAUACAUACAUAUCACUAAAUCAAGUCAAGACAUACUCGUUUAUAGUGAGGUUAUGGUUCGAGUUGUCUCUAACUUCUCAGAAAAUGAGAAGAAGGUCUACAACGAAUACCGUCUCUGAGACUAUUAAUUAUAUAUAUAUAUAUAUACAUAAUUAAUAAACUUUGUCAUUAAAUUCUAUAUAUGUGAAUAAUUAGAAAUUAUAUUAUCAAAUUAAUUUUAGGGAUUUUAUAGUAAGGUUAUGGUUCGAGUUGUCUCUAACCUCUCUGAAAACGAGAAGAAGGUCUACAACCAACAUCGUCUCUAAACUAUUAAUUCUAUAUUAAUAACUAAUAAACUAUUUUAUCAUUCAAUUCUAUAGGCAUAAAUAAUUGAAAAUUAUAUUAUCAAAUUGAUUAAGGAAUUCUUAUAGUAAGGUUAUUGUUCGAGUUGUCUCUAACUUCUCCGAAAAUGAGAAGAAGGUCUACAACCAACACCGUCUCUAAACUAUUAAUUCUAUAUAAAUAAUCGAAAACUAUUUUACCAAAUAAAUUUCUUGAGAUUUUUAUAGUGAGGUCACGGUUCGAGUUGUCUCUAACUCGUCUGAAAAUGGGAAGAAGGUCUACGACCAAUAGCGUUUCUAAAACUAUUAGCCUCAUCGAAUCGAAACAAUUACAUAUUUUGAACAAAAUUCAAAUUAACCAAUUCAAUAAACUAAUACUUAUAAAACAUAAUGGUAUUUUCCCAAAUCACUAACAAUCAAUCAAAGUAGAAACAAUUUUUUGAACUAGAACUACGUAAGCCUUGAUCCCCUUAAUAGGGGUACGUAGGACCAAAGUCAAUAUUGUCAGGCUCAAUAAUAAAAAAUAUUAUGUUUUACUAAUUUAAUUUCUAAAUAAAUAAUUUUUAAGGGUAUAAAAGUUCAUUUGAUUAGCGAGGGUACCGUUUUAAUACGGGUGGACGGGGUGCUAGUACCUUCCCUGAUCCGUAAUCGACUCCCGAGCUCAGAAUCUCUAUUCAUAGACCAUUUUAUCCAAAUUGGGCAUAAUAAGAGUUUUCUACGUUUUAACAGCAAAAACGUAGUGGCGACUCCAAAUCAAUCGGGAGAGGUAGAAAUUACUUUUAUUGUCUCGAGUUCCGGCAGUAUCCGACCUGCGUUCUCGCAUUUACUUUUAUUGUCUCGAGUUCCAGCAGUACCCGACCUGNNNNNNNNNNNNNNNNNNNNNNNNNNNNNNNNNNNNNNNNNNNNNNNNNNNNNNNNNNNNNNNNNNNNNNNNNNNNNNNNNNNNNNNNNNNNNNNNNNNNGAGUUCCAGCAGUACCCGACCUGCGUUCUCGCAUUUACUUUUAUUGUCUCGAGUUCCGACAGUAUCCCACCUGCGUUCUCGCUUUACCUUUUCAUCAUAUCAAAUUACAGCUUUACCCAACUACUGUUCUCGAUUUUAAAUCAUAUUACGACCAUUUAUCUCGGCCUUGACAACAUUCAUGUCCAUUUCUUUACUAGUUACUUACUAUGAUAACACGCAAACCUCGGUGUGCUUGCUAUCUAGUAAGCAACAAGUAAAGAGGGGCAGCUGUGAACACUCAAUUUUGUCCGGCCACUUGUCAAAUAAAAUGCAGGAAUAUAGUUAUAGUACUUGUUAAGGAAGUGGCAAGAAGUCAAAUCCCUUUGUGACAAUAACGUCCUUGCGAACAUGAUGUUAGAUUGAGGUCAUGGAUUCAUUGUUAGAUUGAAGUCAUGGAUAAUUACAAGAAAAUAGGAUCCAUUUGUCAAUACUGGUGCUGGAAGGGACCACGCUGGAGUUUAUGUAAAAACUCUAUUAUGAGUGUCAAUUUUGUUUAUUAUAUUAUAUCACAUUGAAUAGUACUUGUAUGUUCAUAAACAUUAGGCUUGUAUAUUGUACAAAAGGAUUAUUACUUGCCAAUCGGUUCAAUGUAUGUGAUUUAAAUCUAACCUAUUUGCCUAUAUACUCAGUUUGUUUUCAGUAAUAAAACUAAUUAUUUGUCCCUCUUAUCAUCUUAUGUAACAUUCUGCUUGUUGACUGAUGAUUUACUGAAUAUGAUCUUCACCUAAAAAAGUGUUGAUGAUGUCUCUGAUAGUCAUUCCUGUAAAAAGAGAUCAAAGGGUAAGUUUUUUAGACAAUUACAUAUUGGGGCAUAGAUGCAGUAAUAUUGAAACAGCCGUGAAUAUCGAAGGGAAUGCCAAAAUGUGGCAUAUUCAUUCAGUUACUCAUCCUGGUUUUUCAAACAGCUAAAGUUUCAAGGCAUUGAUAGUUACAGAUCAACCAUCAUUGACAGCAUUCAUGGGCAGUUAAAGUAUUCAAAUCAGAAAGGAAAGGGCAUGACACGUUACUGAGCUUAAAAAGAACAACUCAGAAGGCUUUUCACAUCAAUAACCAGCUAUAAAAGGGCCAUAUAUCACAUACAAAAGAGGGACAGCCGCAAGAAAAUCAGAGAGAUUACACAUACAGGGUGACACACCAUAGUUACAGAGCAUUCAGAAUACACAUACACAACAAAUACCCAAAAGAGAGUGAUAUACAUUCAUAUAUCCACACAUAUCAUACAAAUCAGAGGGCACAACACAGAAUUUGUAUCUGCUCUCUAUCACACGCAUAGAAAGAAGAGAAAAGCACACAACUAUCUGUCCUCAUACACUGACCUCACACACAUAACCGAGGACGAUUCCGGAAGCAUAUCUCACAUACACGAGAAAGGGAUAGGUUGCUGAUCAAGAACAUAGAGAUAAAGGUAAUCACGGCAAGGUUAUACAUAGGAAUGCUGUCAGGUAAGGAGGUGUUUUUUAUUUGGUGAUCAAUCUGUGUUUUGAACUUAGACGAUAAAUUUAUAAACAAUUUUGCUUAGCCAUACAGAAUUACAUACAUCCCAUUCCCAUUCAAUUGAUUUCGCAGAGACACAUAUACUGUCAUUUAACCAAUAACAAAAGUAACUAAUGCUAUAUAACUACUUUAAAGCAGUGAAAUUUGUUUCUGGAUGAACAUUCAUACCAAUUGGUUUUUUUUCUCAUCAUAUUGCUAAUUACUUCACACUAUGACAAAUAUGUAAAGUUAGAUUGGAAGAGGGAUAGGGUUCUUUACCAAAAUCCUUUGCCAAUAACCAACCGUGGAGUCAUGAUUACACUGUUUUCAUUGCGGAAUUAAUGCCAUCAUUCGCCGAC